RNAcentral lists this ribosomal RNA (925 nucleotides) under uncultured archaeon. RNAcentral describes it as "bacterial SSU rRNA". It matches the Rfam family "Archaeal small subunit ribosomal RNA", at positions 21 to 922 of the family's 1478-position model. The record is from RNAcentral.
CCCCACUGCUAUCGGGAUAGGACUAAGACAUGCUAGUCGAGCGCCUCCCAGCCACGACGGAGGCGCGGCGUACAGCUCAGUAACACGUGGCUAACCUGCCCUCGGGACGGGAAUACCCCCGGGAAACUGGGGCUAGUCCUCGAUAGGUGAAGAACUCUGGAAUGAGUCUCCGCCCAAAAGACGCUUAAAUCAUGCUUUUAGGCGCCGCCCAAGGAUGGGGCCGCGACCGAUCAGGUUGUUGGUGAGGCAACGGCUCACCAAGCCUUUAACCGGUGCGGGCCGUGAGAGCGGGAGCCCGGAGAUGGGCACUGAGACAAGGGCCCAGGCCCUACGGGGCGCAGCAGUCGCGAAAACUUUGCAAUACACGAAAGUGUGACAGGGCUAUCCCGAGUGCCAUCCGCUGAGGAAGGCUUUUACCCAGUAUAGAAAGCUGGGAGAAUAAGGAGAGGGCAAGACUGGUGUCAGCCGCCGCGGUAAUACCAGCUCUCCGAGUGGUGUGGAUGUUUAUUGGGCCUAAAGCAUCCGUAGCUGGCCAAGUUAGUCCCCUGUUAAAUCCACCGAAUUAAUCGUUGGAGUGCGGGGGAUACCGCUCGGCUAGGGGACGAGAGAGGCCGACGGUAUUUUCGGGGUAGGGGUGAAAUCCUAUAAUCCCGGGAGGACCACCAGUGGCGAAGGCUGUCGGCUAGAACGCGCCCGACGGUGAGGGAUGAAAGCUGGGGGAGCGAACCGGAUUAGAUACCCGGGUAGUCCCAGCUGUAAACGAUGCAGGCUAGGUGUUUGGGCGGCCACGGGCCGCUCUAGUGCCGCAGGGAAGCCGUUAAGCCUGCCGCCUGGGGAGUACGGUCGCAAGGCUGAAACUUAAAGGAAUUGGCGGGGGAGCAUCACAAGGGGUGAAGCUUGCGGUUUAAUUGGAUUCAACGCCGGA